RNAcentral lists this long non-coding RNA (1047 nucleotides) under Calidris pugnax (ruff). RNAcentral describes it as "lncRNA (ENSCPUG00000004914.1)". Lineage: Eukaryota; Metazoa; Chordata; Aves; Charadriiformes; Scolopacidae. The record is from RNAcentral.
AUGUCCCCAUCCCCUCAUCCCUGUCCCCUGCCCCUGGUCUGUGUCCCAUCCUUGUCCCCAUCCCCUGCCUUGUGUCCUUGUCCCCUGGUCCCUGUCCCAUCCAUGUCCCCUGCCCCGGUGUGUGUCCUUGUCCCCUGGUCUGUGUCCCAUCCUUGUCCCCAUCCCCUGCCUUGUGUCCUUGUCCCCUGGUCUCUGUCCCAUCCCUGUCCCCUGCCCCGGUGCGUGUCCUUGUCCCCUAUUCCCUGUCCUAUCCAUGUCCCCAUUCCCUGGUCCCUGUCCCAUCCCUGUCCCCGUCCUCUGCCACAUGUCCCCAUCCCCUCAUCCCUGUCCCCUGCCCCUGCUCUGUGUCCCAUCCUUGUCCCCAUCCCCUGCCUUGUCUCCUUGUCCCCUGGUCCCUGUCCCAUCCUUGUCCCCAUCCCCUGCCCCGGUGCGUGUCCUUGUCCCCUAUUCCCUGUCCUAUCCGUGUCCCCGUCCCCUGCCACGCAUCCCCAUUCCCUGCUCCCUGUCCCAUCCCUGUCCCCAUUCCCUGCCACAUGUCCCCAUCCCCUCAUCCCUGUCCCCUGCCCUGGUGCGUGUCCUCAUCCCCUGCUCCCUGUCCCAUCCUUGUCCCCAUCCCCUGCCUUGUGUCCUUGUCCCCUGGUCCCUGUCCCAUCCGUGUCCCCCGCCCUGGUGUGUGUCCUUGUCCCCUAUUCCCUGUCCUAUCCGUGUCCCCGUCCCCUGCCACGUGUCCCCAUUCCCUGCUCCCUGUCCCAUCCCUGUCCCUGUCCCCUGCCACGUGUCCCCAUCCCCUCAUCCCUGUCCCCUGCCCCUGGUCUGUGUCCCAUCCUUGUCCCCAUCCCCUGCCUUGUGUCCUUGUCCCCUGGUCCCUGUCCUAUCUGUGUCCCCAUCCCCUGCCACAUGUCCCCAUUCCCUGCUCCCUGUCCCAUCCCCUUCUCCUGCCUCGGUGCGUGUCCUCAUCCCCUGGUCCCUGUCCCCUGCUCCUGCAGGACCAGCAGUUCUUCUCCAACCCCCCCCCGGCGCCGUGGCCCCGACUGGCCGAGGUGCUGA